ACUGCGAGUGAAGCGGCAAAAGCUCAAAUUUGAAAUCUGGUACCAUUCGGUGCUCGAGUUGUAAUUUGGAGAGGCAACUUCGGAGAGGGCGCUGGCCUAAGUUCCUUGGAAAAGGACGUCAUAGAGGGUGAGAAUCCCGUGCUUGGCUGGCUGUCCCUCUUCAUGUGAAGUGUCUUCGACGAGUCGAGUUGUUUGGGAAUGCAGCUCAAAAUGGGUGGUAAACUCCAUCUAAGGCUAAAUAUUGGCGAGAGACCGAUAGCGCACAAGUAGAGUGAUCGAAAGAUGAAAAGCACUUUGAAAAGAGAGUUAAAAAGUACGUGAAAUUGUUGAAAGGGAAGCGCUUGAGACCAGACUCGGUGAUAGGUGAUCAGCGGUUGCUUUUGCUCCGUGCACUUGCCUUUUACCGGGCCAGCAUCAGUUACAGCGGUGGGAUAAAGACUUGGGGAAUGUGGCUCCCUUCGGGGAGUGUUAUAGCCCUGGGUGUAAUGCCACCUGUUGUGACUGAGGACCGCGCUUCGGCUAGGAUGCUGGCAUAAUGGUCUUCAGCGACCCGUCUUGAAACACGGACCAAGGAGUCUAACAUCUAUGCGAGUGUUCGGGUGUAAAACCCCUACGCGGAAUGAAAGUGAACGGAGGUGGGAACCUUUUAGGUGCACCAUCGACCGAUCCUGAUGUUUACGGAUGGAUUUGAGUAGGAGCAUAGCUGUUGGGACCCGAAAGAUGGUGAACUAUGCCUGAAUAGGGUGAAGCCAGAGGAAACUCUGGUGGAGGCUCGCAGCGGUUCUGACGUGCAAAUCGAUCGUCAAAUUUGGGUAUAGGGGCGAAAGACUAAUCGAACCAUCUAGUAGCUGGUUCCUGCCGAAGUUUCCCUCAGGAUAGCAGUAACGAUCUCAGUUUU
Molecule: ribosomal RNA, 898 nt
Filed under: Pseudoplectania nigrella
Lineage: Eukaryota; Fungi; Ascomycota; Pezizomycetes; Pezizales; Sarcosomataceae
Description: eukaryotic LSU rRNA
Rfam family: Eukaryotic large subunit ribosomal RNA
Source: RNAcentral